Molecule: small RNA, 1565 nt
Filed under: Pan troglodytes (chimpanzee)
Lineage: Eukaryota; Metazoa; Chordata; Mammalia; Primates; Hominidae
Description: retained intron
Source: RNAcentral
AGUAAAGGGAAACAGACAUGAACACUAGGUGACAUGGAGUGUUAGGGGCGCUAUGGUAGAAGUCUGCAGAGAGUGCAAUGGGCGUCCAAAUGAAGUGAUCACUUGCACAAGAGUGGGAGGCUUGGCUGGAAAGGCUUCUCUGAAUAGGAUGACAUUUGAUCUGUGUUUUGAAGGGCAUCGUUGGCAAGGUAAGUAAUCCAAUUAAAGGAGGUUGCCUCAGCUAAAGCACAGUAUGCUCAAAGGUGCGGAUCAUUUGAAAAUUUGAGUUCAGGUGCAGUAGGGGUAAGGUAAGUAUCCAACAGAAUUUUCUACAAUGAUGGAAAUGUUCUAUUUUGUCACUGUCCAAUACGGUAGCCUCUAGCCACAUUUGGCCAGUACAACUGAAGAAUUGAAUAUUAACUUUCAUUUAAUUCUAGCUAAUUUAAAUUUAAAUAGUUUCAUCAGUUAGUGGCUACCAUAUUGAACAGUGCAGGUUUAGAGAUAAAUAGAGGCCAGUUGCAGGAGGGUCUUGCAUCCCAUUGAGGAGGACUGAAUUUUCUUCUGCAGGGCCUUCUGUGGUCUGCAGAAAGGGCUGUACACAGGCAGUAAUAUUAUCAGCUUUGCCUGUGGGAGUGCCCCAGCCUGGAAGCAGAUAAUACAGUUAGGAGAUUCCCAUAACCUGCCUGAGUGAGAGCAUUAGUAAUUAGGGAAGGAAAUGGAUGUGAGACUUGCUGAGAAGGGCUGGACAGGCUUAGUGACAGGUCUGAGUGUGAGGGGAGAGGGAGUGGGGGAAGUGGGAUCAGGUUUGAGCCAGCUAUUAAAUCAAUGCCAAUUCAUCCCAUAAAGAAUGCAGAGAGUGGGACAGGUUUGGAGAGUGUAAGGAACAUGGCUGUGCUGUAGCCAAGCAGGCAUAGGGUAGCAGGAAUAGGCCGAGGUAAACAGCCUAGAUAUCUCAGCGGGAUUGGGGUGCAAGUGCACAGUCCUGUGUCUUAUAUAGUCACAGCCAUGUAGGCAUAACAUAGAGCAGCUCCCCACCUGGCUCUCAGCCACUAGUGUUUGUGUAGUGUAUAAAUGUAACACUGACCCUGUGAAGGGGCUGCUGAAUAAAGCCAUGUCUCAUUUACCUGCUGUCUCUCCAGUGUUCUUCCAGCUCCCUGCCCCACAUCCACCCACUGUCCUCAGACCUCAGCUGGGGCUGCACCCCAACCCUGAGUGUGACAGAGAGAAGAUGAGUGUUAGAGAUCAUGAUCCUGAAGUGCUGACGAGAAAUUCAGCCUGCAAGCCUAGAGGUCAGCUCAGUGGCCACCUUCUGAAGCCCAGGGCACCAUUGGAAGCUGCCUAGUUUGAGGCACGGAGGGAAGAGGAAAACACUGAGAACAACAUCCCUCUUCCUGAGGAAUGCAUACAAGGGUGCUUGGGGGUAGGUUGGGGAUCCCAAGGCAGGAGAGCCAAAGCUGGAGUCAGAGGAAGCUCUUCUUCUGAAACCUGUAAUUUCAAUGUCUUUUCCUUUCCCUUCAAAAUUGUAAUUUCCUUCUGAAAUCAUUCUAACCCUUUAGUAAAGACAUUAAUUUAAAGAUGUUUAAAAA